RNAcentral lists this ribosomal RNA (727 nucleotides) under uncultured bacterium. RNAcentral's name for it is "bacterial SSU rRNA". It matches the Rfam family "Bacterial small subunit ribosomal RNA", at positions 789 to 1515 of the family's 1533-position model. The record is from RNAcentral.
GGUAGUCCACGCCGUAAACGAUGUCGACUUGGAGGUUGUGCCCUUGAGGCGUGGCUUCCGGAGCUAACGCGUUAAGUCGACCGCCUGGGGAGUACGGCCGCAAGGUUAAAACUCAAAUGAAUUGACGGGGGCCCGCACAAGCGGUGGAGCAUGUGGUUUAAUUCGAUGCAACGCGAAGAACCUUACCUACUCUUGACAUCCAGAGAACUUAGCAGAGAUGCUUUGGUGCCUUCGGGAACUCUGAGACAGGUGCUGCAUGGCUGUCGUCAGCUCGUGUUGUGAAAUGUUGGGUUAAGUCCCGCAACGAGCGCAACCCUUAUCCUUUGUUGCCAGCGGUUAGGCCGGGAACUCAAAGGAGACUGCCAGUGAUAAACUGGAGGAAGGUGGGGAUGACGUCAAGUCAUCAUGGCCCUUACGAGUAGGGCUACACACGUGCUACAAUGGCGCAUACAAAGAGAAGCGACCUCGCGAGAGCAAGCGGACCUCAUAAAGUGCGUCGUAGUCCGGAUUGGAGUCUGCAACUCGACUCCAUGAAGUCGGAAUCGCUAGUAAUCGUAGAUCAGAAUGCUACGGUGAAUACGUUCCCGGGCCUUGUACACACCGCCCGUCACACCAUGGGAGUGGGUUGCAAAAGAAGUAGGUAGCUUAACCUUCGGGAGGGCGCUUACCACUUUGUGAUUCAUGACUGGGGUGAAGUCGUGACAAGGUAACCGUAGGGGAACCCUGC